CACCUGAAGAACAAUGUCACUCAUUAGAGAUGUUUCACUAAACCGGAAUCACCCUCGACUUGACCCUUUACAUGGAUUGACGUAAAAUUAGUCUCUUAACGAACAGACCGUUUUGUAGUCAAAAUAUCUCCUACGCCUGAUGUAUCAUGGACGUAUAAACGAGACGGUAACACAUAGGAGAACUGUCCUCACCAUAACCUCGAUCGGAAAACUAUAUAUUAUUUCGUUUUUGUUCGUACAUCAUCUAUUUCAAAAUUCUUCUUAUAAAAAAAUGACAAGAGCAUAGGAGGGAUCGACAUAUGAAAACUCUUUGCUGUUUAGACUAUAAAACAUGUACACGGAAAAGCUCUUACAAAAGACUGAAACAUCUUUGAAGUGAAAAGUAUCCUCGUACACGUUACUCCGCCGCUUUUUAUACGUCAUCCCUCCUUAUACGUCCGAAGAUCAUGAUCCCGUCUCGUAUUCGUAUCGGAUGCUAAAGGGCACACUCUUUUCGAACUAGUCCACCGACUACUUGGACAGAGGACUUUAUCGAAGUAGAUCGGACUAUGUCGGGGUUUGAAGAUUAGAAUCUGUCCCUGUUCUUACCGUAUAUCUAGUAUAUAAAAUCGUCUCGACGGGGGGUGUAGCAGGUAGGGUUAGUAAUAUUUUACGUUCCCUCUUACCAUAUACUAAGAGCGACAUAUAUCACCCAACCGUGGGUCUUUUUGGUCUACGUCUGGAAACGUAGUGAGACCAUAGCUUAAUGGUGUUAAAUUAACUCCAGUUAAAUACGAACACAAUAAAAUCGUGGCAAUUUAAAGGUGGCAGCUCUUCCCUAGUUGACCCAGGGUAAAGACUUUCGUUAAUCCGUAUACAUGUUUCCAAGGUUGGAAACGAGGUUCGUUUGGAUCUCAUCUUCAACCAAUACUCUUUCGAGUGGUAUUUAUUUAUAUUUUCUAACGGCAACAGAACAAAGUCGUUUUUUAUAAAGAUAACAGUUUGUUACAUUCCACUGACUCAAAGCGUAAACUACUGUUUUGUGUGAGUUCGAAAUCUAAGUAAGGUCGUUCUAGAAAAUUGGUAAACGCGGUCACUUUCAUUCUUCUCUUGGUAUACUACAGAUAUUCUGAACUUUAUGAGACGAAAUAUAUUCGUGAAUACAACGAUGUCUCAUGAAUCCAGAGUCCUUAUACAUGGAAGUACUUCUCACGUGGUGCAAAUACGACGUUCGACGGAACGUAAAGUCGGCUAUACCAAGGGAUUAGCUACGACUAACCCAUAGCCGAGAACUAUCCAUGAGGACCGUUUUAUCAGUGAGAAGGAACCGAGACAUAGGACUAACAUAGGACUUUGUUCAACGCCAUAUGUUAAGAAAGGCGUGACUUUAAGGUGGUCGUCUUUACCAAAGACUUUCAGGUACCUAAUCACUAUGAACUCGUACGUUCAGCACGGUUAAGCACCCGUCUUCUUUCGUCACCCGUAAUUAUGAGGUACGUUGUUCGUCCCUUUAAGAACCAACCGACAUUUUACCCUAGUUUCCCUCUCCUUUGUUGUAAACUAAUAAAAACAAGGGAGAGGUGACAGUUUCUACGUAGAAUAGUUGGAAACGUACUUUACCAAGGUCUAAGAGAACAGUACUGUCGACGUCACUCGUGCCACACUUUUUUGGCGUGACAGCACACUAGUUACGUCUAAGGUCCCUAACAAGCUGUAUAUAAGGGAAGAAGUCACGAAGUCCGGAGGUGAUAUUUAUGUCGGUUUACCCCUACACCUGAAGUAUGUGAAGGAAUGCAGAUUCUAGUAUGUUUGAUUUCGUAGUGGAUCACGAGAACAACGUCUCUGUUGUCUUCGGUACUCGAUAAUACCUUCGUCGAGAAGACCACCGUCCCCACCGGCAGCUCAGCUCAUACCCUCCUCGAUACACCACUCCGGUUUCCCUGCCGUGGAUCGGUGGUAACACACCGAGGUACCGGAUCCACUGUUACCACGUUCGACCAGGGUCGAGGACCUACGAGAAGGGAACGGGUUAUAGUUCACCUAUACGGGGUGGCGUCGCUGGGCCGGGCAGCGCCGAAAACCGCCGAAGGGGACGUGACGUACCAAACUGCAACUACUGUGAAGCCAGCUACCAGCGCUGCUGUAGCUCCCCGACCUACGAAGUCGACGUGUGUAUCGCUUGGAUGACAGGAGGCUCGGAAGACUACACUUCGAACCCUAGCCGCCAAAGUCGUACCCACGUCGUCGACGGGACGUGAGCCGUCGUACGAUGCGAGUACCGUUCAAGUCGUCGCCGUGGGGGAUGGGCUAGUGAGAGUCGCGUCAGUAGUCGAACUCGCCGACCGAGGGAACGAGUUCCUGUGACUCCCCGUUCUACCUCCCGAGUGUGUACCGUCGUUCUUCUCGGCGGAGGGACGGGUAGGACGAGUCGGUACCGUCUCGCCUGCUCCAGCACGGGAUGUCCUUGCCCCUCGCCAGCUGGCUCAAGGACGCCAGGAGCCCCAAGAGCAUAGACUGAAAGUUCAGGAUGUUGCCCAACCCGGUGAUGUGGUAGGGGCUUCUCUACCUGCUGCAGACGUCCACCGAGUCGAGUGCCGAGUCGCAGCUGGCUAGAGCAAUUUCUCUUGUCGCGAAGACAGUAAGACGCACACGCGCGCUGCGCCACCGAAGGGAUCAUCGUAUAUCGUCACAUUUGAAUGAUAUCUCUCCACUUACGACCAAACCAUCGAACACUGUCGUGGUGUACGGGGACUAGAGAUGUCCGACGGUAACGACGAGAUUCGUUCGUUGGUACUCACGACACAUCAUUUGACCACUUCCACACUCUCGUAUAAAUAGUCUUAAUACAUUACAUUGGUCACGAACAAAACAUUACGUUUUUAUUGGUAGAUAUGUCUAGUAUGAUAAGUACGA
This 2892-nucleotide ribosomal RNA is filed under the name Triticum aestivum (bread wheat). RNAcentral describes it as "partial small subunit ribosomal RNA". Lineage: Eukaryota; Viridiplantae; Streptophyta; Magnoliopsida; Poales; Poaceae. The record is from RNAcentral.